Molecule: ribosomal RNA, 406 nt
Filed under: uncultured bacterium
Lineage: Bacteria
Description: partial 16S ribosomal RNA
Rfam family: Bacterial small subunit ribosomal RNA
Source: RNAcentral
CUUGAACGCUGGCGGCAGGCCUAACACAUGCAAGUCGAACGAGUGGCGGACGGGUGAGUAAUGUCUGGGAAACUGCCUGAUGGAGGGGGCUAACUACUGGAACCGGUAGCUAAUACCGCAUACCAUCGGAUGUGCCCCGAUGGGAUUAGCUAGUAGGUGGGGUAAAGGCUCACCUAGGCGACGAUCCCUAGCUGGUCUGAGAGGAUGACCAGCCACACUGGAACUGAGACACGGUCCAGACUCCGACGGGAGGCAGAAGGGGGGAAUAGUGCACAAUGGGCGCAAGCCUGAUGCAGCCAUGCCGCGUGUAUGAAGAAGGCCUUCGGGUUGUAAAGUACUUUCAGCGGGGAGGCGUUACCCGCAGAAGAAGCACCGGCUAACUCCGUGCCAGCAGCCGCGGUAAUUC